AACGCAAAUUGCGCCUGCGCCUCGGCAAAGGCAUGUCUGUCUCAGCGUCGGCUGCACCCAUCACCCUCCCAUUUCGUGGGCGGAUGGAUCUGGCCGUCUGGGCGUUCGGCAACGCAACCCCGGUCGGCUGAAGCGCAGAGGUCAGAGUGGGUCCCAAUCGAGGGCUCCGGCUAGGUAGGCUGCCGACAGGCUGCAUACCGCCGGUCACCCGGGACGUCCGCACUUGACCGGCAGGAAUGGGGCGGAAGUCCCACACAUCAAAUUUCGACCUGAGAUCAGGCAAGACCACCCGCUGAACUUAA
Molecule: unclassified non-coding RNA, 302 nt
Filed under: uncultured fungus
Lineage: Eukaryota; Fungi
Description: partial contains 5.8S ribosomal RNA, internal transcribed spacer 2, and large subunit ribosomal RNA
Source: RNAcentral